GAUGCAACGCGAAGAACCUUACCAAGGCUUGACAUGAACCGGAAAGGCGUAGAAAUACGUCCCCCACUUGUGGUCGGUUUACAGGUGGUGCAUGGUUGUCGUCAGCUCGUGUCGUGAGAUGUUGGGUUAAGUCCCGCAACGAGCGCAACCCUCGUUCUAUGUUGCCAGCACGUGAUGGUGGGGACUCAUAGGAGACUGCCGGGGUCAACUCGGAGGAAGGUGGGGAUGACGUCAAAUCAUCAUGCCCCUUAUGUCUUGGGCUUCACGCAUGCUACAAUGGCCGGUACAAAGGGUUGCGAUACUGUGAGGUGGAGCUAAUCCCAAAAAGCCGGUCUCAGUUCGGAUUGGGGUCUGCAACUCGACCCCAUGAAGUCGGAGUCGCUAGUAAUCGCAGAUCAGCAACGCUGCGGUGAAUACGUUCCCGGGCCUUGUACACACCGCCCGUCAAGUCACGAAAGUUGGUAACACCCGAAGCCGGUGGCCUAACCC
This 489-nucleotide ribosomal RNA is filed under the name uncultured Arthrobacter sp. RNAcentral describes it as "bacterial SSU rRNA". It matches the Rfam family "Bacterial small subunit ribosomal RNA", at positions 953 to 1441 of the family's 1533-position model. The record is from RNAcentral. Lineage: Bacteria; Bacillati; Actinomycetota; Actinomycetes; Micrococcales; Micrococcaceae.